RNAcentral lists this ribosomal RNA (479 nucleotides) under uncultured bacterium. Its description in RNAcentral is "bacterial SSU rRNA". It matches the Rfam family "Bacterial small subunit ribosomal RNA", at positions 28 to 526 of the family's 1533-position model. The record is from RNAcentral.
GACGAACGCUGGCGGCGUGCUUAACACAUGCAAGUCGAACGAUGAAGCCUUCGGGUGGAUUAGUGGCGAACGGGUGAGUAACACGUGGGUGACCUGCCCUGCACUUUGGGAUAAGCCUGGGAAACUGGGUCUAAUACCGGAUAGGACCACAGGAUGCAUGUUUUGUGGUGGAAAGCUUUUGCGGUGUGGGAUGGGCCCGCGGCCUAUCAGCUUGUUGGUGGGGUGAUGGCCUACCAAGGCUGCGACGGGUAGCCGGCCUGAGAGGGUGUCCGGCCACACUGGGACUGAGAUACGGCCCAGACUCCUACGGGAGGCAGCAGUGGGGAAUAUUGCACAAUGGGCGCAAGCCUGAUGCAGCGACGCCGCGUGGGGGAUGACGGCCUUCGGGUUGUAAACCUCUUUCAGCACAGACGAAGCGCAAGUGACGGUAUGUGCAGAAGAAGCACCGGCCAACUACGUGCCAGCAGCCGCAGUAAAAC